RNAcentral lists this small RNA (755 nucleotides) under Pan troglodytes (chimpanzee). RNAcentral describes it as "retained intron". The record is from RNAcentral. Lineage: Eukaryota; Metazoa; Chordata; Mammalia; Primates; Hominidae.
GUCAGCCACGGUUCCCCGACUGGCAGAAAGACUUACCACUGAACUCAUCGUGCACAUCCAAAAAUCGCUCCCGUUGUUAGAAGAACAAAUAAGGGAGAGCCACCAGAAGGCGACCGAGGAGCUGCGGCGUUGCGGGGCUGACAUCCCCAGCCAGGAGGCCGACAAGAUGUUCUUUCUAAUUGAGAAAAUCAAGAUGUUUAAUCAGGACAUCGAAAAGUUAGUAGAAGGAGAAGAAGUUGUAAGGGAGAAUGAGACCCGUUUAUACAACAAAAUCAGAGAGGAUUUUAAAAACUGGGUAGGCAUACUUGCAACUAAUACCCAAAAAGGUAAGUUCUGGGCAGGGCUCCCUGCAAAACAGGGUGGUAUUUACCCAGACCAGAGGCUACGUCCAGCACAUGAUAAGUGUGCCAAGAGUGGAACACGCCCAUCCAAGACCGUGGAACCCUUGGUAAUCAGCAACUGUCUCUCAACGAACAAAACCCAGAAAUAUGGGGCAUUGACCUCAGAAACUCAACACAGGGCAAUUCCACUGCCUCUGAUGUCCUCGUGUCUUGAUUUUGUUUUGUUUUGUUGAGACAGGGUCUCCCUCUGUUGCCUAGGCUGGAGUGUAGUGGCGCAAUCAUGACUCACUGCAGCCUCAACCUCCCAGGCUCAAGUGAUCCUCCCACCUCAGCCUCCUGAGUAGUUGGGACCACAGGCAUGAACCACCAUACCCAGAUAAUUUUUGUACUUUUUUGUAGAGAUAGGUUUUCACC